This is a long non-coding RNA of Eucalyptus grandis, 323 nucleotides long. RefSeq lists it as uncharacterized. The record is from RefSeq and is a predicted model, not a curated record. NCBI's taxonomy places the organism in Eukaryota, Viridiplantae, Streptophyta, Magnoliopsida, Myrtales, Myrtaceae. The transcript is spliced from 3 exons.
CAAGAACACUAGUCUCGAAAAACUCCUGCACAAGCUUCAACAGGUCAGUCUUAAUAGUUUCCCAUGACUGUUGAUAGAAAACACCAUGAAAGCCGUCUGGGCCUGGAGCCUUGAGAGCUCCCAGCUGGAAAACUGCUUCCUUUAUUUCUUCCCAUAGAGGAUGCAGUCGAAGAAUUAGGGGGCUGUGAUCUGAUCCGAUAGCAGGAAGGGCUUGUACUUCUGCUUCAUGAAAGAUCCAGGGAAUAGAAGCUGAAGGUUUAAAGGUUCCCAGUAGUUGCCAUAAUGCCAUCCUCUCUCCAAAAUCAGUGGAUGCGUGUACAAGG